Molecule: ribosomal RNA, 1278 nt
Filed under: Salmonella enterica
Lineage: Bacteria; Pseudomonadati; Pseudomonadota; Gammaproteobacteria; Enterobacterales; Enterobacteriaceae
Description: partial 23S ribosomal RNA
Rfam family: Bacterial large subunit ribosomal RNA
Source: RNAcentral
GGUAGAGAAUACCAAGGCGCUUGAGAGAACUCGGGUGAAGGAACUAGGCAAAAUGGUGCCGUAACUUCGGGAGAAGGCACGCUGACACGUAGGUGAAGUGAUUUACUCAUGGAGCUGAAGUCAGUCGAAGAUACCAGCUGGCUGCAACUGUUUAUUAAAAACACAGCACUGUGCAAACACGAAAGUGGACGUAUACGGUGUGACGCCUGCCCGGUGCCGGAAGGUUAAUUGAUGGGGUCAGCGCAAGCGAAGCUCCUGAUCGAAGCCCCGGUAAACGGCGGCCGUAACUAUAACGGUCCUAAGGUAGCGAAAUUCCUUGUCGGGUAAGUUCCGACCUGCACGAAUGGCGUAAUGAUGGCCAGGCUGUCUCCACCCGAGACUCAGUGAAAUUGAACUCGCUGUGAAGAUGCAGUGUACCCGCGGCAAGACGGAAAGACCCCGUGAACCUUUACUAUAGCUUGACACUGAACAUUGAGCCUUGAUGUGUAGGAUAGGUGGGAGGCUUUGAAGUGUGGACGCCAGUCUGCAUGGAGCCGACCUUGAAAUACCACCCUUUAAUGUUUGAUGUUCUAACGUGGACCCGUUACCCGGGUUGCGGACAGUGUCUGGUGGGUAGUUUGACUGGGGCGGUCUCCUCCUAAAGAGUAACGGAGGAGCACGAAGGUUGGCUAAUCCUGGUCGGACAUCAGGAGGUUAGUGCAAUGGCAUAAGCCAGCUUGACUGCGAGCGUGACGGCGCGAGCAGGUGCGAAAGCAGGUCAUAGUGAUCCGGUGGUUCUGAAUGGAAGGGCCAUCGCUCAACGGAUAAAAGGUACUCCGGGGAUAACAGGCUGAUACCGCCCAAGAGUUCAUAUCGACGGCGGUGUUUGGCACCUCGAUGUCGGCUCAUCACAUCCUGGGGCUGAAGUAGGUCCCAAGGGUAUGGCUGUUCGCCAUUUAAAGUGGUACGCGAGCUGGGUUUAGAACGUCGUGAGACAGUUCGGUCCCUAUCUGCCGUGGGCGCUGGAGAACUGAGGGGGGCUGCUCCUAGUACGAGAGGACCGGAGUGGACGCAUCACUGGUGUUCGGGUUGUCAUGCCAAUGGCACUGCCCGGUAGCUAAAUGCGGAAGAGAUAAGUGCUGAAAGCAUCUAAGCACGAAACUUGCCCCGAGAUGAGUUCUCCCUGAGACUUAGAGUCUCCUGAAGGAACGUUGAAGACGACGACGUUGAUAGGCCGGGUGUGUAAGCGCAGCGAUGCGUUGAGCUAACCGGUACUAAUGAACCGUGAGGCUUAACCUU